Long non-coding RNA from Gymnodraco acuticeps, 1424 nucleotides. RefSeq lists it as uncharacterized. The record is from RefSeq and is a predicted model, not a curated record. Lineage: Eukaryota; Metazoa; Chordata; Actinopteri; Perciformes; Bathydraconidae. The transcript is spliced from 3 exons.
UAAGAGAGUUUUUGAGACCACAGUGUUUAGUGAAUGGGUCUCCCCUGCAGUCUCUCCACUCACCCGUCCACCAGGCCCUGCUUCUCUAUCAGCCGCUGUGUUUCCUUUCUGGAGAUGCCACCAUGAAACCACGGCUGGGACUUAUGGAUGGCUACAGACAGACACAGACGGCUUGCCCCUCCUCCCUCUCUGCGCUCUGGGCCUCCGUUGGGUUCUCGAUGACCCGCCCGCCGGCCUUGCCCGAGAAGUCCAUGGCCACCAGGCUCGCCUCGGACUUUGACUGCUCACACAGAGAAACAAGCAGCGUGUGUGAGAAGAGAAAUGUGAGACGACGCUACACAAUGAUUUCUCCUCUUAAAUCAUAUCAUGUCUGAUGAUCUCACUUUGGCAUCUGUGAGUUUGCUUCCUUCCAGGAUUUUCGGGGCCGACUUGGAUAACUGGUAGUUGCACUGAAGCUGCUUCCCAUACUGCGCACACACAAAAUAAAGACAUCUAAAAUCCCAUCUCUCUGAAGUGUUUACCUUGAUGCAGAAGGUGAAGUCUGUAGGCGCUCCGUACAGUUUACGGCUGUUCACCACUGUGUACACGUUCAGAUCGUCCAGAUCAGCAACAUACUGAAGGUGGCGAGGCUCCUGUUUGAUCAAAAUGUUAUUGAAAUGGCAAUAUGGACUAGUACAAUUCCCAAAUCACAGGAAGCACAAUAUUUGAUCAUGUGUUAAAAUACCACUUGAAUGCAAUAUUGUAGAGAUGCAAAGAUAUCCCGGCCUUCAAAUAAUAUUCUACAAAACAGAUUUGUUUGGUAUAGACCACACCAUAAGCAGUUUUAAUGAUGAUGAGAAUUAUGAUUUAAAAAAGAUCAACCCCUUCAGUAUGCUGAAGAUUCAGCAUACUGAAAUUGCAAUAUCAGCCAAAAUAAAUGGAACAAGUUAUUUUUGUAUAAUCUUAAGCGUAAAUGAAGUUGCUGAUAGAAGUGUUCCUCUCACAUGAUUUGUCCUUUGUUUUCAGAUGAUGAUGAAUGGCCGGGUUGUGGGUUUUCAUAGAUUAUUUUAUAAAAAAAGUGUCAUUUAUCCAUUUAGUCUGCGCUUAUUUAUUCAUUAUGUUUGACUCUGACCUUGGAGGAGCCUUUGGUGGAGCAGUAGAGCCCGGAGCGGCGGAGGAAAAAGUAGACCUUCUUCCAGGCCUUACGACUGGGCUCUUUGACCUGCAGGAAGCCCUGAAUCUCCGGACACGUCCCGGACUUCAGCAGGUUCUGAGGAACACAAGGGAUCAGAACAGUGAGCUGUUGUUCUCAGGCUACUAAUGCACAAAAAAUUAUGUAUGAAAAAGGAAAAUUGUGUUAAUAAAAAUGUAUGAACACAAUAUUUUAUGAUAUAGAAAAAAACUGUUGCAAAACAAGUAUUUCAAAAUAUAUGCCCUUGAUUUAG